GAGAGAGAAAGAAGAAGAAAGAAAAAGAAGAAGAAGAAGAAGAAGAAGAAAGAAGAAGGGAAAUCGACCAUAGAGCUUCACCACAGCUGGGUCCUGGUAUUUUGAGCCUAAAUUUAUGAUCAUCUCAUCGAGGCCUUUAAUUUGAGGUUAUCCACCUGGCCAUCAGGAGGCGGGCCCCACUGUGGAGUUUCGAUCUGAGGACUAGUGGGUCCUUAUUGAGUUCGAGCAUGGCACCGAUUGCAAGUGAGAGGAUUGUACUGCAUGGCUGCUGUGACUCCUGAGUGAUUUUUUUUUAUUCUUUUGAUACCAUAUUUGAAGUUGCCAAAAGAAGUUGUCUCAAUUUGGCUGUACAUUCACAAGGUUGCCUUACUCUCAACACAUGCAUUGAUCAUAUGAUAGAAGACCAUAAAAGAGAGCUCCUAGACAUUAUCAAAGAAAACUCAGUUUUCUUGGCACAAGACCCUUAUCGGAACUAUGUAGUGCAGCAUGUACUAAGAAUACACUACCCGGGUGUCAAUGGGAGAAUAUGUCAUAAGCUUCAAGAAUUCUAUGUGAGGCUCUCAAUGCAGAAGUCUGGCAGCCAUGUAGUAGAGACAUGCGCAAUAUCUGGUGGGAUAGUAUAUGUGGUCAAUGAUCUUGUUCAAGGUGAAACUUGUUGAAGUUGCAAAGAAUCAGUUUGGAAACUAUGUGAUCCAAACAGUUCUAAAGGCGACCAAGGGUUCAUAUCUUCGCCUUUAUCUGAGACUUGAAAUCGCCCUACAGCCACAUCUUGCAGAACUCCAGUACCAUCCAAAUGGAAGGAAUGUUUACAAUUUGAUCAAGGAGGGGAUUAAUACUCCUUUUAAUGGCAACAAGCAGGUUUACUGGCAGUACUGUUGAGCCUUCAUUGGUGGACCUCCAAAGUUCUUCAGGCCAGGCCGGCUUCCCAUCUUCUAAUUUUCCCUCAUUGUAGUAGUUGAAAUGUAUCUUUCUAAUUUUUUUUUCUACUGUUGUUUUAUUGCACUGCAAUGUUAGUACAAAGUGGGAAAAGUGGAUGAAGAUGAAGAAUGAAUUGUAGGAGUUAGUACAAAAUGAUACGUUAUGUUUGUUUCUUGAAUAUGACACAACUUUCAAAUUUCAAUAUGUAGUUUCAAA
This is an RNA transcript of Macadamia integrifolia, 1134 nucleotides long. It is a transcript of the gene named putative pumilio homolog 8, chloroplastic, with no coding region annotated. The record is from RefSeq and is a predicted model, not a curated record. Lineage: Eukaryota; Viridiplantae; Streptophyta; Magnoliopsida; Proteales; Proteaceae. The transcript is spliced from 5 exons.